This is a small nucleolar RNA of Rhinolophus ferrumequinum (greater horseshoe bat), 108 nucleotides long. The record is from Ensembl. Lineage: Eukaryota; Metazoa; Chordata; Mammalia; Chiroptera; Rhinolophidae.
UACCACAAUUAAAAAUAACAUAAUAAUAAUGUGGCUAUUCUGAGACACAGGUUAUGCUUCCAUCACAGUAAGUUUAUUGCAGUGGUGACAAUGAGACCUGUAACAUUU